AAAAAACAAAAACCCAAUCAAUAAAUGGGCCAAGGUCCUGAACAGACACUUCUCAGAAAAGGAUAUACAAUAAAUCAACAAAUAUAUGGAAAAAUGUUCAACAUCUCUAGCAACUAGAGAAAUGUGAAUUAAAAUUACGAUUUCAUCUCACUGUAGUCAGAAUGGCAGCUAUUAAGAAUACAAACAACAAAAAGUGUUGGCAAGGAUGUGGGGGAAAAGGCACAAUCAUACAUUGCUGGUGGGACUGCAAAUUGGUGUAGCCAAUAUGGAAAGCAGUAUGGAGAUUCCUUGGAAAACUGGGAAUGGAACCACCAUUUGACCCAGCUAUCCCUCUCCUCGUUCUAUACCCAAAGGACUUAAAAAACAGCAUACUAGAGGGACACAGCCACAUCAGUGUUUAUAGCAGCACAAUUCACAAUAGCUAAACUGUGGAACCAACCUAGAUGCCCUUCAAUAGAUGAAUGGAUAAAAAAAAAAUGUGGCAUAUAUUCACAAUGGAAUAUUACUCAGCAAUAAAAGAGAAUAAAAUCUUGGUAUUUGCAGGUAAAUGGAGUUAGAGAAGAUAAUGCUAAGUGAAGUUAGCCAAUCCCAAAAAGACAAAUGCUGAAUGUUUUCUCUGAUAGAAG
Molecule: long non-coding RNA, 626 nt
Filed under: Marmota monax (woodchuck)
Lineage: Eukaryota; Metazoa; Chordata; Mammalia; Rodentia; Sciuridae
Source: RNAcentral